UACGGAAGGUCCGGGCGUUAUCCGGAUUUAUUGGGUUUAAAGGGUGCGCAGGCGGUGCGGCAAGUCUGAUGUGAAAGCCCGGGGCUCAACCCCGUACAGCCGUUGAGACUGAGGAGCUAGAGACGGCGAGAGGUACGCGGAAUGCGCAGUGUAGCGGUGAAAUGCAUAGAUAUUGCGCAGAACUCCGAUUGCGAAGGCAGCCUACCAUCGCGUGACUGACGCUGAGGCUCGAAAGUGCGGGUAUCAAACAGG
Molecule: ribosomal RNA, 252 nt
Filed under: uncultured bacterium
Lineage: Bacteria
Description: partial 16S ribosomal RNA
Rfam family: Bacterial small subunit ribosomal RNA
Source: RNAcentral